GCUACACCUACAACAACACCAGCAUGUCACCCACAUCAACUAAAACCACUAUGGCAACCGUAAACCACGCGGCUGUCCUCACCACCCAUACAUCUACAACCCAAGCAUGUCAGCAUCAUCACCCUAGCCAACAACACCUUACAUUUACACCUAUACACCCACUUGCUUCACCUACAACAAAGUCGGCAAGAGACCCACAUCGGUUAACAUCACCUACGUCAACUUCACCUUAAAAAUAUCCUCAUAGGCCCACCUACAUCACCUUAAUCAACAACACCUUACAUAUUACACACAUACAUCGACUUCCCACACCAAUAACAACGCCAGUAUGUCACCUACAUCACCCUAAGCAACAACACCUCAUACGCCUUCUUUCACUGUCUUACAACAACGCUAACACGCAACUAGACACAUUAUCCAUGCCAACUACCAAAUCCAUCGUUAGAUGCGCGUCCUGUAUUUGCAUGAACUUCGUGGAUUGAUUAAUCCCCUUGACUUACAUUCUUUGCUUGGUGUAAGACUUGGUGAUAUCGUGUGAGCUGCGUGGAAUGAUCGGCUCGUGGGUCCUGCAAAGAUAACGGCGGGGAUAAGUGGAAAUCGAAUUCAUAUAGGAAGGCUAGCCCAAUGAUUGACAGCUCCUUACGCAGGUGGGAGGGAGUCGAUGUCUUUGAUCUCCUUUGUCGAGAGCAGAGUGACGCCGUCCACGACGUAGAAGUGUUCUUUACCAAAUAAGAACAAGCCUUCAGCGGUAUCUAACCCCUGGACACGCGCACAACGGUACAUGGAGCGGAUCCUCUCGCCAGCCUCGAGAAGCUUCACGAUUGUUUGAUUCUCAACCUUUAGAAAUAGAAACAAAACAUGACAAUGGACUUUGCUUCAAAGAUGACUUAGAAGUGCUCGACAGGGCAAAUACGUCUGUAUGUUGUUUUCUGUUUUCAUGUUACAACAAGACAGGUAAAGUUGGUAGUAUUUUUCGCCCAAGAUUGAUCCUUUUUUUCUCGACUAGAUAUUUUGUAAGUAUUGGAUUGAUCAAUUGAAAAAGCGAGACUCAGCACUUUUAAGCAGGCAACUGACCACGUGAUAAGACAUGGCUAAGCACUCAAAAUUUUAAGCAUGUUACUGUAAACAUGUAUCAUAGAACAACUACGCACUCACUAUUGAUCACGUGAAUUACAACUUGAAGACGUACCUCAGAUUCCUCGUUUGCCUCAGACGUGAAAUAUCCCGGGUCGGUGGAAAUAGCGCGAAGAGGGGCAGCUUUCUUGUUCACUAGUGCUGCAUCGAGAUAAGAAAAGAUCGUGUUAUAUUUACCCAAGUUUUUCAAGUUAACGCCUGCUCCAGUCGUUGGAUUUUCAAUACAAACUGUGUAGUAUAGUUAGUACAUCAAUCCAGCAUCGCUUGUAACGCUAAGCUCGGUACAGUUAGUACAUCAAUCCAGCAUCGCUUGUAACGCUAAGCUCGGUUUACCAAAUGACAAAGAAAACGAUGGCGACCUGCUUCACAACAUAAUACCAUAAUCACCGAGAAAAUGAACUCACAACUACGCCUGCGGCGUCGGCACUUCACAAAUCACCCAUCGGUUGCCGGGACAUUUAAUCGCUAAAUUCCCCUCGUACCAUACUAUAACUUAUAAAAAUAUGUUAUUCAAACGACGCCAGCAAAGCCGGGCGCCUGUGAUGAUGGCUGUUUUGGCAGCCGCGCUGGCUCUAGUUGAGAGAAGCUUUAUAAACUUUGUUAACAUGAUUGGACGAGCCACAAGACUAAACGUAAAACACACUCGUGCUGUACUUAAAAUAAACGCAAACCACUUGUACGAGAAAAGCUUCAGUAUGUGGUCAGAAAAUUUCGAAAAUACGCACAUUCUACACUGAUGCCCUGGCCAAUAAAAACGCAAUUUAACCCAA
Long non-coding RNA from Nematostella vectensis (starlet sea anemone), 1904 nucleotides. RefSeq lists it as uncharacterized. The record is from RefSeq and is a predicted model, not a curated record. The transcript is spliced from 2 exons. NCBI's taxonomy places the organism in Eukaryota, Metazoa, Cnidaria, Anthozoa, Actiniaria, Edwardsiidae.